GGGAUUGUUAUAGGAUAUUAUUAAUAGACAACCGAACAGUGGAAUACAAGAAGAGGCCGAACGGUGAGGGAGAAGAAGUGAGGAGCCGAACGAUUGAAUGUGGUGAAGCUAUCGAGCGAGGUCAAGCUGUGAAGAAGAAGGAGGACACCGAACAACUGAAGUCGAUAUUAUCGAACGGUGGAAGCACGAGAACCGAUCGGUUGAAGAGUUACAUAAUAUUAUUUAAUAGUCAGUUAAUUCUGUUAGUUAUAGAAUUAGCUAAAACUCUGUAAUCUUUCGCUAUAAAACAAUUGUAUUCUGUAAAUUCAAGGGAGGAAUGAAUAACAUCAGAAUUUUUCCACUCUUCUAAAUUUAUUCUCUUGUGUUCGUAUUCUUUUCUCUUAUCUAAAUUCCCUACUUCCUGGGUUUUUGUUCGAAGACUAUUGUCUUCCUAAAAGAAC
Molecule: long non-coding RNA, 440 nt
Filed under: Vigna radiata
Lineage: Eukaryota; Viridiplantae; Streptophyta; Magnoliopsida; Fabales; Fabaceae
Description: long non-coding RNA (VRAD_LNC008310)
Source: RNAcentral